CCAGCCUGCCCAGUGACCAAGUUCAACGGCCGCGGUAUCCUAACCGUGCGAAGGUAGCGUAAUCACUUGUUCUUUAAAUAAGGACUAGUAUGAACGGCACCACGAGGGUUAUACUGUCUCCUUUUUCCAAUCAAUGAAACUGAUCUUCCCGUGAAGAAGCGGGGAUACUUCUAUAAGACGAGAAGACCCUAUGGAGCUUCAAACCAAAUAGCAUCGGCUAUACCUUAAUAUUUUAAUCAAUAACUUUUAUUAUCGCCCUCUGACUAUUAGUUUUAGGUUGGGGUGACCGCGGAACAAAAAUUAACCUCCAUGGUGAAAACUUUUCCUGAGCCAAGAGCCACAGCUCUAAGCACCAAAACAUUGACACAAAUUGACCCAAUAACUUGAGCAACGAACCAAGUUACCCUAGGGAUAACAGCGCAAUCCACUUCAAGAGCUCCUAUCGACAAGUGGGUUUACGACCUCGAUGUUGGAUCAGGGUAUCCUAGUGGUGCAGCCGCUACUAACGGUUCGUUUGUUCAACGAUUAAAACCCU
RNAcentral lists this ribosomal RNA (535 nucleotides) under Dendropsophus elegans (elegant forest treefrog). RNAcentral's name for it is "partial large subunit ribosomal RNA". It matches the Rfam family "Bacterial large subunit ribosomal RNA", at positions 1854 to 2597 of the family's 2925-position model. The record is from RNAcentral. Lineage: Eukaryota; Metazoa; Chordata; Amphibia; Anura; Hylidae.